CACAGGUGGUGCAUGGCUGUCGUCAGCUCGUGUCGUGAGAUGUUGGGUUAAGUCCCGCAACGAGCGCAACCCCCUGUCCGUAUGUUGCCAGCAUUAAGUUGGGGACUCAUACGAGACUGCCGGCGUCAAGCCGGAGGAAGGUGGGGAUGACGUCAAGUCAUCAUGCCCCUUAUGUCCUGGGCUGCACACGUGCUACAAUGGCCGGUACAAUGGGCUGCGAUGCCGCGAGGCUGAGCGAAUCCCAUAAAGCCGGUCCCAGUUCGGAUCGGAGGCUGCAACCCGCCUCCGUGAAGUCGGAGUUGCUAGUAAUCGCGGAUCAGCACGCCGCGGUGAAUACGUUCCCGGGCCUU
RNAcentral lists this ribosomal RNA (350 nucleotides) under uncultured Coriobacteriaceae bacterium. RNAcentral's name for it is "bacterial SSU rRNA". It matches the Rfam family "Bacterial small subunit ribosomal RNA", at positions 1033 to 1382 of the family's 1533-position model. The record is from RNAcentral. Lineage: Bacteria; Bacillati; Actinomycetota; Coriobacteriia; Coriobacteriales; Coriobacteriaceae.